RNAcentral lists this long non-coding RNA (1332 nucleotides) under Nicotiana tabacum (common tobacco). RNAcentral's name for it is "long non-coding RNA (NTAB_LNC018560)". The record is from RNAcentral. Lineage: Eukaryota; Viridiplantae; Streptophyta; Magnoliopsida; Solanales; Solanaceae.
UCGAGUGUGUAUGAAAUACCAGUGAAAAAGCUGUCUCAUUUCUGAGUGAGAACAGAAAUGGCGACCAUCACUGCUUGCACCGCGGCCUCUUCAGUAGCCCGUGUUGCUCUCGUGCACAAUGGUUCUGUAUCUCGCCCCUCCUCUGUUCUUGGUAUGUUGAUUUUUCACAUAUCGCUCUUAAUCUUGAUAAUAAGAGUUUAACUGCUACAAAAGGGAAAGUUUCUUUUUGUUUAAGCUUUCUAGCUAGGAUUCAGCAACUAAUUUAUGAAAAGAGUUUUAGUAUAACUGGCAGGGGCCGAGCUAGGUGGACGGAAGGGUUCAGUCGAGCCCUUUUCGUCCGAAAAUUACAUUAUAUAUAUAAUUUCCUUAGCUUAUUCGCGUAUUAAAAAUCAUGCUCUGCCACUAAUAACUGGUGUAAGCUAUAUACGUAUGAUACUGCUGAUAGAGUUGAGCGAAAUUAUUAUCAAGGAUCAGUAAGAAAUCUCAAAAUGGUAUUUGAUGUAUAUAUAUACUUUAUUGCGCAUUCUCAAAAGGUUAAUGUGUAGAACUAGUCUCGUACCAUUUGGUCAUUCUCCUGAUUUUGAAUGGGAAGCGUAUGAAAUCAAAGAUUGAGUGUGUUAGUUGACUCAAAAUGAGUAUAUAUAAUUUUAUCAUAUGUAUACAUAUUAAAUUCCUAUUUUUAAGGUAUACAGUCACACAGAGUUUUGAGCCAGGAUUUCAAAUUUAUGGAUUCGAGAUUAUAAUCGUUUAAGCUAUUGGAUUCUAAAUUAUAACUUAUAUAUAUUCAAUAAAUUUUUAAGAUAAAUAUAAGGUUUGAACUAAAGCUAUUGGGUUUGGCUGAACCCUCUCGGGGCAGUACUCUAGCUCCGCUCUUGCAGUCAGAGCUCUCUAUAACAACCAUCAUCUAUAACAACACUUUACUAUGAUGGUCAAUUUUCUUUGGAACCAAUUUUCCAUAUUAUGUUAUAAUAUAUGUUUUCUAUAGUAGCACUUCACUAUAUCAAUCAAAAAGGCAACGGAAAAAACGAGAUUGUUAUAAAAAGGUUUAACUGUACAUAGCUCGAGUCAAAAAGUUUAUUAACUGAACUAACAAAUUACAUCCUAAAUGUAACAAACAACAACAACAACAUACCUAAUAUAAUCCCACAAGUGGAGUAUGAGACAUCUAUAUAACAACCGGCUCAUAAUUUCACAGGGUUGCCAGCCAUGAGCAAGAAUAUGGGAAAGGUAAAAUGUUCAAUGGAAGGAAAAUCAACAGGGCAAGAGAGUGAGGCAAAGUUAGGAAUGGGUACAUCUUUAAUGGCAGCAGCAUGUGCAGCAACAAUGUCAAGU